CCUACGGGAGGCAGCAGUGGGGAAUAUUGGACAAUGGGCGCAAGCCUGAUCCAGCCAUGCCGCGUGAGUGAUGAAGGCCUUAGGGUUGUAAAGCUCUUUUGUCAGGGAGGCGGUACCUGAAGAAUAAGCACCGGCUAACUUCGUGCCAGCAGCCGCGGUAAUACGAAGGGUGCUAGCGUUGUUCGGAAUCACUGGGCGUAAAGCGCGCGUAGGCGGCUUUUCAAGUCAGGGGUGAAAUCCCACAGCUCAACUGUGGAACUGCCCUUGAAACUGUAAAGCUAGAGUGUCGGAGGGGAUAGCGGAAUUGCUAAUGUAGAGGUGAAAUUCGUAGAUAUUAGCAGGAACACCGGUGGCGAAGGCGGCUAUCUGGCGCAACUGACGCUGAGGCGCGAAAGCGUGGGGAUCAAACAGGAUUAGAUACCCUUGUAGUC
This 431-nucleotide ribosomal RNA is filed under the name uncultured bacterium. RNAcentral describes it as "partial 16S ribosomal RNA". It matches the Rfam family "Bacterial small subunit ribosomal RNA", at positions 338 to 795 of the family's 1533-position model. The record is from RNAcentral.